GCCAGAAAAUAGCUCAGUUGGGGAGAGCGUUAGACUGAAUCUAAGGUCCCUGGUUCAAUCCGGGUUUCGGCA
RNAcentral lists this transfer RNA (72 nucleotides) under Trichonephila inaurata madagascariensis. RNAcentral's name for it is "tRNA-Ser". The stretch from base 7 to 67 matches the Rfam family "tRNA", at positions 5 to 66 of the family's 71-position model. From Rfam's summary of the family: Transfer RNA (tRNA) molecules are approximately 80 nucleotides in length. Their secondary structure includes four short double-helical elements and three loops (D, anti-codon, and T loops). Lineage: Eukaryota; Metazoa; Arthropoda; Arachnida; Araneae; Nephilidae. The record is from RNAcentral.